RNAcentral lists this ribosomal RNA (484 nucleotides) under uncultured bacterium. Its description in RNAcentral is "bacterial SSU rRNA". It matches the Rfam family "Bacterial small subunit ribosomal RNA", at positions 28 to 507 of the family's 1533-position model. The record is from RNAcentral.
GAUGAACGCUAGCGGCAGGCCUAACACAUGCAAGUCAGGGGUAACAUGAAAAGCUUGCUUUUCUGAUGACGACCGGCGCACGGGUGCGUAACGCGUAUACAACCUACCUUUUAGCGGGGAAUAGCCCAGGGAAACUUGGAUUAAUGCCUCAUAGUAUAUAAGCUUCUCCUGAAGUUUAUAUUAAACAUUUAUGGCUAUUAGAUGGGUAUGCGUCCUAUUAGUUAGUUGGUAAGGUAACGGCUUACCAAGGCAGCGAUAGGUAGGGGUCCUGAGAGGGAGAUCCCCACACUGGUACUGAGACACGGACCAGACUCCUACGGGAGGCAGCAGUGAGGAAUAUUGGACAAUGGGCGAGAGCCUGAUCCAGCCAUGCCGCGUGCAGGAAGACUGCCCUAUGGGUUGUAAACUGCUUUUACAGAGGAAGAACCACCCCACGUGUGGGGGUUUGACGGUACUCUGCGAAUAAGGAUCGGCUAACUCCGUG